Molecule: microRNA precursor, 58 nt
Filed under: Limulus polyphemus (Atlantic horseshoe crab)
Lineage: Eukaryota; Metazoa; Arthropoda; Merostomata; Xiphosura; Limulidae
Description: Lpo-Mir-33-P12_pre stem-loop
Source: RNAcentral
GUGCAUUGUAGUUGCAUUGCAUAUGUAUCAUUCGGUGCAGUGCAUCUAGAGUGCAUUU